RNAcentral lists this ribosomal RNA (492 nucleotides) under uncultured bacterium. RNAcentral's name for it is "partial 16S ribosomal RNA". It matches the Rfam family "Bacterial small subunit ribosomal RNA", at positions 29 to 507 of the family's 1533-position model. The record is from RNAcentral.
AGUGAACGCUGGCGGUAGGCCUAACACAUGCAAGUCGAACGGCAGCACAGUAAGAGCUUGCUCUUACGGGUGGCGAGUGGCGGACGGGUGAGGAAUACAUCGGAAUCUACUUUUUCGUGGGGGAUAACGUAGGGAGACUUACGCUAAUACCGCAUACGACCUACGGGUGAAAGCAGGGGAUCUUCGGACCUUGCGCGAUUGAAUGAGCCGAUGUCGGAUUAGCUAGUUGGCGGGGUAAAGGCCCACCAAGGCGACGAUCCGUAGCUGGUCUGAGAGGAUGAUCAGCCACACUGGAACUGAGACACGGUCCAGACUCCUACGGGAGGCAGCAGUGGGGAAUAUUAGACAAUGGGCGCAAGCCUGAUCCAGCCAUACCGCGUGGGUGAAGAAGGCCUUCGGGUUGUAAAGCCCUUUUGUUGGGAAAGAAAAGCAGCAGGUUAAUACCCCGCUGUUCUGACGGUACCCAAAGAAUAAGCACCGGCUAACUUCGUG